UACGUAGGGUGCGAGCGUUGUCCGGAAUUACUGGGCGUAAAGGGCUCGUAGGUGGUUUGUCGCGUCGUCUGUGAAAUUCCGGGGCUUAACUCCGGGCGUGCAGGCGAUACGGGCAUAACUUGAGUACUGUAGGGGUAACUGGAAUUCCUGGUGUAGCGGUGAAAUGCGCAGAUAUCAGGAGGAACACCGAUGGCGAAGGCAGGUUACUGGGCAGUUACUGACGCUGAGGAGCGAAAGCAUGGGUAGCGAACAGGAUUAGAUACCCUGGUAGUCCAUGCCGUAAACGGUGGGCGCUAGGUGUGAGGGUCUUUUCACGACUUUCGUGCCGUAGCUAACGCAUUAAGCGCCCCGCCUGGGGAGUACGGCCGCAAGGCUAAAACUCAAAGGAAUUGACGGGGGCCCGCACAAGCGGCGGAGCAUGUGGAUUAAUUCGAUGCAACGCGAAGAACCUUACCUGGGCUUGACAUACACCGGAUCGGGCUAGAGAUAGUCUUUCCCUUUGUGGCUGGUGUACAGGUGGUGCAUGGUUGUCGUCAGCUCGUGUCGUGAGAUGUUGGGUUAAGUCCCGCAACGAGCGCAACCCUUGUCUUAUGUUGCCAGCAUUUGGUUGGGGACUCAUGAGAGACUGCCGGGGUCAACUCGGAGGAAGGUGGGGAUGACGUCAAAUCAUCAUGCCCCUUAUGUCCAGGGCUUCACACAUGCUACAAUGGUCGGUACAACGCGCAGCGACACUGUGAGGUGGAGCGAAUCGCUGAAAGCCGGCCUUAGUUCGGAUUGGGGUCUGCAACUCGACCCCAUGAAGUCGGAGUCGCUAGUAAUCGCAGAUCAGCAACGCUGCGGUGAAUACGUUCCCGGGCCU
RNAcentral lists this ribosomal RNA (859 nucleotides) under uncultured bacterium. RNAcentral's name for it is "SSU rRNA". It matches the Rfam family "Bacterial small subunit ribosomal RNA", at positions 524 to 1381 of the family's 1533-position model. The record is from RNAcentral.